This 603-nucleotide ribosomal RNA is filed under the name Triticum aestivum (bread wheat). RNAcentral describes it as "partial small subunit ribosomal RNA". The record is from RNAcentral. Lineage: Eukaryota; Viridiplantae; Streptophyta; Magnoliopsida; Poales; Poaceae.
AUGGACAGAUGGAAGGAGCAGCAGAGCGAGCUUGAUCAAUACUCCUAUCCCUACUGUGGAACCAACUUACUGCUCCUGUGCAUGAAUCCGGAGAACCAGAGUGGAGAACCAGUAUCUACUCCAGCAAAGACUCAGGCGAUCAACACAGACUGCAGGACUGCCGGCGAGGAAGAGAUCAAUUGGAGUGACUGGUCGACCUGGCUGCUCGCCGACGAGGUCAAUUGGCCGGAUCAGGAGCUCCGGUGCAUGAAUCGAGGAGGGCGUCGGGUUGCGCUGCUACUGCUGGUCAGUGCGGGGAGGAGCACGGGCGGCACGACAGGCAGGAGCCGCGGGCGGCUGGAGCCUGUGGCGGACGACGAGGGAGAUGCGUAUGGCAAGGACGGACCUUGGGUUCUCGAUCGGAGUGGAGGAAGGCGGCCGGCGGGGGCGGACGCCGGAGCUGCAGCGGAGGGGUGGAGCCUGGCGGACGGGAAUAGCGACGGAGGAAGAGGACGAUCCGAGCGACAAGUGUUUUUCAAAUUGGGGGUAGUUUCGUACUUUUUUUCCUUUUCAUCUGGUCGGAGAAUUGCCCCAAUGACAAAUAAAUCGGUACAGAGGGAGUAA